Molecule: ribosomal RNA, 460 nt
Filed under: uncultured bacterium
Lineage: Bacteria
Description: partial 16S ribosomal RNA
Rfam family: Bacterial small subunit ribosomal RNA
Source: RNAcentral
CCUACGGGUGGCAGCAGUGAGGAAUAUUGGUCAAUGGACGCAAGUCUGAACCAGCCAUGCCGCGUGAAGGAUGACGGCUCUAUGAGUUGUAAACUGCUUUUGUACGAGGGUAAACUGCGAUACGUGUAACUUGUUGAAUGUAUUGUAUGAAUAAGAAUAGGCUAACUCCGUGCCAGCAGCCGCGGUAAUACGGAGGGUCCGAGCGUUAUGCGGAUGUAUUGGGUUUAAAGGGAGCGUAGGUGGUUUGAUAAGUCAGUUGUGAAAUCUCGGGGCUCAACCCCAGAACUGCAUUUGAUACUGUUAGACUAGAGGAUAGUUGCGGUAGGCGGAAUGUAUGGUGUAGCGGUGAAAUGCUUAGAGAUCAUGCAGAACACCGAUUGCGAAGGCAGCUUACCAAACUAUCACUGACGUUGAGGCACGAAAGCGUGGGUAGCAAACAGGAUUAGAUACCCCUGUAGUC